UAGGGAAUCUUCGGCAAUGGGGGGAACCCUGACCGAGCAACGCCGCGUGAGUGAAGAAGGUUUUCGGAUCGUAAAGCUCUGUUGUUAAGGAAGAACGAGUGUGAGAAUGGAAAGUUCAUGCUGUGACGGUACUUAACCAGAAAGGGACGGCUAAAUACGUGCCAGCAGCCGCGGUAAUACGUAUGUUGCGAGCGUUAUCCGGAAUUAUUGGGCUUAAAGGGCAUCUAGGCGGUAAGACAAGUUGAAGGUGAAAACCUGUGGCUCAACCAUAGGCUUGCCUACAAAACUGUUGAACUAGAGUACUGGAAAGGUGGGUGGAACUACACGAGUAGAGGUGAAAUUCGUAGAUAUGUGUAGGAAUGCCGAUGAUGAAGAUAACUCACUGGACAGAAACUGACGCUGAAGUGCGAAAGCUAGGGGAGCAAACAGG
Molecule: ribosomal RNA, 430 nt
Filed under: Verrucomicrobiota bacterium
Lineage: Bacteria; Pseudomonadati; Verrucomicrobiota
Description: Verrucomicrobia bacterium partial 16S ribosomal RNA
Rfam family: Bacterial small subunit ribosomal RNA
Source: RNAcentral